AUUAAACAAGUUCCUCAUGCUCAAAUAAUUUCCAAAGCAAGGUGGUAAGAGUUCUCUUAGAAUGUUAUAGUCAAAGAAAAGAAUAAAUGCAAUGUGGAGAUGUGAUGUGGGGAGAGACCUCUGAAAAGACGUCUGUUUCAGGUUUGCAAAGGUUUAAAAAUGGCCUAAGCCAGGGCUGGAGGGGUCAAGGGUCAGGGAAGGGAGGACAGAAGCGGGGGAGCAGGGCAGCUUUAGGACUGGAGCCUACAGAGGCAUUGGAGGUGAAAGUAGAGAGAGGAGGAGAGCCCGGGAGAAGAGGGAGCGCUGGGACAGACUGCAGCCCAGCCAACAGCAUCCUCCCUUCCUGCCUGCAGCCCUCAUCUUUGAUGGCAGCACCAACCCAGCCCAUCCCAAACACAUCGGCAGCAUCGACCCCAACUGCAACGUCUCUGAGGUGGUCAAAGAUGCCUACGACAUGGCUAAGCUCCUGUGUGACAAGUAUUACAUGGCCUCACCUGACCUGGAGAUCCAGGAGAUCAAUGCAGCCAACUCCAAACAGCCGAUUCACAUGGUCUACGUCC
Molecule: small RNA, 560 nt
Filed under: Pan troglodytes (chimpanzee)
Lineage: Eukaryota; Metazoa; Chordata; Mammalia; Primates; Hominidae
Description: retained intron
Source: RNAcentral